ACGAAUAUGUUCGCCACCACAGAAACAUAACUAAAUAUAUUGUAUUUAUUGCAUUUUUAUGAUUUAUGACAAAACUACGCAAAUAUUUAUUGUUUUUAUUAUAAAUAAUAAAUACAAUAAAUACAAUAUAUUUAGUUAUGUUUCUGUGGUGGCGAACAUAUUCGU
This 165-nucleotide microRNA precursor is filed under the name Paramuricea clavata. The record is from RNAcentral. Lineage: Eukaryota; Metazoa; Cnidaria; Anthozoa; Malacalcyonacea; Plexauridae.